CGAUUAAGCGCAGGAAAAGAAACCAACAGGGAUUGCCUUAGUAACUGCGAGUGAAGCGGCAAAAGCUCAAAUUUGAAAUCUGGCGUCUUCGGCGUCCGAGUUGUAAUUUGGAGAGAUUUCUUCGGGGUGAACACCGGUCCAAGUUCCUUGGAACAGGACGUCACAGAGGGUGAGAAUCCCGUGUCUGACCGGUUGCUUCAUUCCAUGUGAAGAGUCUUCGACGAGUCGAGUUGUUUGGGAAUGCAGCUCAAAAUGGGUGGUAAAUUUCAUCUAAAGCUAAAUAUUGGCGAGAGACCGAUAGCGCACAAGUAGAGUGAUCGAAAGAUGAAAAGCACUUUGAAAAGAGAGUUAAAAAGUACGUGAAAUUGUUGAAAGGGAAGCGCUUGAGACCAGACUCAAUUUGUGGUGAACAUCAGUCCUUCUGGGCUGUGCACUUGCCACUUUUUGGGCCAGCAUCGGUUCUGACCGUGUGAUAAAGGUCCUGGGAAUGUAGCUCCUCUCGGGGAGUGUUAUAGCCCAGGGCGUAAUGACAUGAGUUGGGACCGAGGACCGCGCUUCGGCUAGGAUGCUGGCAUAAUGGUCUUCAGCGACCCGUCUUGAAACACGGACCAAGGAGUCUAACAUCUAUGCGAGUGUUCGGGUGGAAAACCCUUGCGCGUAAUGAAAGUGAACGGAGGUGGGAACCCCUCGGGGUGCACCAUCGACCGAUCCUGAUGUUCUCGGAUGGAUUUGA
Molecule: ribosomal RNA, 733 nt
Filed under: uncultured Ascodesmis
Lineage: Eukaryota; Fungi; Ascomycota; Pezizomycetes; Pezizales; Ascodesmidaceae
Description: eukaryotic LSU rRNA
Rfam family: Eukaryotic large subunit ribosomal RNA
Source: RNAcentral